RNAcentral lists this ribosomal RNA (275 nucleotides) under uncultured Mucilaginibacter sp. RNAcentral describes it as "partial 16S ribosomal RNA". It matches the Rfam family "Bacterial small subunit ribosomal RNA", at positions 338 to 610 of the family's 1533-position model. Lineage: Bacteria; Pseudomonadati; Bacteroidota; Sphingobacteriia; Sphingobacteriales; Sphingobacteriaceae. The record is from RNAcentral.
CCUACGGGUGGCUGCAGUAAGGAAUAUUGGUCAAUGGACGGAAGUCUGAACCAGCCAUGCCGCGUGCAGGAAGACGGCCCUAUGGGUUGUAAACUGCUUUUGCAGGGGAAUAAACCUCUCUACGUGUAGAGAGCUGAAUGUACUCUGAGAAUAAGGAUCGGCUAACUCCGUGCCAGCAGCCGCGGUAAUACGGAGGAUCCAAGCGUUAUCCGGAUUUAUUGGGUUUAAAGGGUGCGUAGGUGGCUUUUUAAGUCAGGGGUGAAAGACGGUAGCUU